UCCUGCUCAUAAAUACUGAACACUCCGAUCGCCAUGAAACAUGGAAGCUGUCAGACUGAAACAAAGCUUCUUCUUGUUAUCGGUCUUUCUGCUCUGGCUAUCAGGCUGUCCUGCUAGCGGCGAGCCGGUGACCCAGACUCCCACGCUGUGGACAAAUCAGGAUGCCGACGCCACGAUGCAGUGCAGCCACACAAAGGGCAGCACGUACCGCCUGAUGUACUGGUACCAGCAGCUGCCGGGUCAGAACAUGAAGCUGAUCGUUUCCACCACGGCGUACAGCCCACCCGAGUACGACCCGGGCUUCACGGAGGAGAAGUUUCCGGCAGAGAAGAAGAAUGCGGAGACGGGAUCUCUGAGGGUGAAGAAGGUGAAGCCUGAAGACAGCGGAGUGUAUUUCUGUUCUGUCAGUGAGACACAGUGAAGCAGCUGAUUGAAGGAGCUGAACAAAAAUCCAGCUGAAGCACAGGGACCGAAAAAUAUUGUUUUGAGCUAACUGUAGAGGGCGCUAAUAUCACUAAUACCUUCUAGGUGAGGUAACUGACUGAAAUGGGAUUUUUUUUUACUGUAUUUUUUCCUCUAUAUGCUAUCAAAUAUACAUUACUGUAUACAUAUCACUGACAAUAAAAUACAGCAAUUCAACAUGACAAAUGUGACCAAGUUAAAGACUGUAAUACCUGCUUUCUUUUUUCAGGUUUUGCUUUAUUUGGUUGCUGGAGUUGUUUAUUUCUUUUAAAGAAUGAAAUCCAUGAAAAAAUAAUGGUGGCCAACAAAAGUUGUGUCAUGGAAAAAAGAAAAGAGAAGCUUCAGGAUGUAAUGGGCUAAUAAGCAUAUUUUGUGUUUUUAUUUUAUUAUGAAACUUUUUUUUAGGUUUUUCUUCACUUAUUACAAAAAAUACAGAGACUAUAUUAUGUAUUAAACAAUAUGGAGUUGGCUUGAAUCAGAUGUUGCUGUGACGAUCCCAUUUUGUGUCUCCUCCCCUCUCAUUUGAUCCUUUAACAUG
Molecule: non-coding RNA, 1000 nt
Organism: Poecilia latipinna (sailfin molly)
Lineage: Eukaryota; Metazoa; Chordata; Actinopteri; Cyprinodontiformes; Poeciliidae
Source: the annotation of a RefSeq genome assembly